This 687-nucleotide ribosomal RNA is filed under the name Triticum aestivum (bread wheat). RNAcentral's name for it is "partial small subunit ribosomal RNA". The record is from RNAcentral. Lineage: Eukaryota; Viridiplantae; Streptophyta; Magnoliopsida; Poales; Poaceae.
AUGUCGGCUCCUGUCUUCGAGAGAGAUCUCUUCGAGAGAGAACCGUGCCCAGGCCGCAUCAUUGAUGAUGCAGGCAGUGCUUUCGCCAUGGGUGCUGUCGGUGGUUCUGUCUAUCACUUUUUCAAGGGCCUUCAUAACUCGCCCAAUGGUGCUCGAAUUACUGGCGGCAUGCAGGCCGCUCGCAUGAACGCCCCUCGACUCGCCGGGAGCUUUGCUGUGUGGGGCACCCUCUUUUCCACCUUCCACUGCACCUCAGCCUACGUUCGCCGGAAGGAGGACCCCUGGAACUCCAUCAUAGGUGGCGCCGCCACUGGAGGGUUUCUCUCCAUGCGGCAGGGCGUCAAAGCUUCUGGCCGCUCGGCACUUGUGGGUGGCUUUUUCCUCGCCCUCAUAGAGGGCGCUGGCCUCAUGGCCAACCGCUUUGCACCGCAGAUGCUCCCGCCGCUCCCUGCCGAUGAUCCCAACAUGGCCGCCGCCAUCUCGAUGGGAGGAGGUGGCUUCCCAGGCCUGCCUCAGCCUGUCGUGUCCCCUGCAGAGGUCGUGAGCUCAAGCAGUGGGGGUAGCUGGUUUGGCGGCCUCUUCGGCAAGAAGGAGGAGAAGAAGCCCAGCGGCAGUGCUGGCAUGUCGGAGAUAUUAGAGAGCUUCGAGGCGCCCAGCCCUCCGAUACCAUCGUUUGAUUUCAAGUGA